Molecule: long non-coding RNA, 553 nt
Organism: Triticum dicoccoides
Lineage: Eukaryota; Viridiplantae; Streptophyta; Magnoliopsida; Poales; Poaceae
Exons: 2
Source: RefSeq, a predicted model, not a curated record
UCCCCCCACCAAGAUCAAGCACUAGAGCUACCUACGUGGUUCAGAUUCCAGAGAGCCAGCGUGCACGGCACUCUGUUCUCUUCGGCUAGCUCCACUUCCACCAUCAUGGCCAACUUCGCCGCCCAGCUCAAGGAUAGGUUUUUCGGCCUUGUCGACCGCGUCGCCGGCUGCGGCCGUACUGGGGUCAAGGCGGAGGCCCCCAAGUCGGCGCCGGUGCCGGCCGUGCAGGAGCACGUCGAGAUUCGACCGAGAGGCCCCAAUGUGUCAGGAGGAUCGGAGGCAGGAGUCAAUUAGACACCGCGGAUGCUACUCGUUUGUUACUGUCUGCUUAUGUCUGCAGUGUUAUCGCUUCGUUUGAGAUUCACGUGGCUUCCUUUGUUCUGAAAGUUGAAACAGAUGAUUUUCUUGUCGGUGUGCUUGUGCGUGCCUGGGUGUGUUUUCAAUAUUCAACAACUUUUUUUUUCAUGCCUCGUGACUGAAGUAUUAAGCUUAAUGAUUUCAUUGUAAUAUGUAUAUUUGAUGAGGCAGUAAUAAAUUUGAUUGAAAUUUCAAA